RNAcentral lists this ribosomal RNA (483 nucleotides) under uncultured bacterium. Its description in RNAcentral is "bacterial SSU rRNA". It matches the Rfam family "Bacterial small subunit ribosomal RNA", at positions 328 to 803 of the family's 1533-position model. The record is from RNAcentral.
UAGCGGAACUCCUACGGGAGGCAGCAGUGGGGAAUUUUGGACAAUGGGCGAAAGCCUGAUCCAGCAAUGCCGCGUGCAGGAAGAAGGCCUUCGGGUUGUAAACUGCUUUUGUACGGAACGAAACGGCCUUUUCUAAUAAAGAGGGCUAAUGACGGUGCCGUAAGAAUAAGCACCGGCUAACUACGUGCCAGCAGCCGCGGUAAUACGUAGGGUGCGGGCGUUAAUCGGAAUUACUGGGCGUAAAGCGUGCGCAGGCGGUUCUAUAAGACAGAUGUGAAAUCCCCGGGCUCAACCUGGGAAUGGCAUUUGUGACUGUAGAGCUAGAGUACGGUAGAGGGGGAUGGAAUUCCGCGUGUAGCAGUGAAAUGCGUAGAUAUGCGGAGGAACACCGAUGGCGAAGGCAAUCCCCUGGACCUGUACUGACGCUCAUGCACGAAAGCGUGGGGAGCAAACAGGAUUAGAAACCCUAGUAGUCCACUUAUG